RNAcentral lists this long non-coding RNA (207 nucleotides) under Homo sapiens (human). RNAcentral describes it as "HSALNT0130908". Lineage: Eukaryota; Metazoa; Chordata; Mammalia; Primates; Hominidae. The record is from RNAcentral.
ACUAGUGGCACCCGUCUUGUGACAGAAGACACAUUUCAUUUGUAGGCCUCUCCUCAGAGCUAGCUCCACAUUUAUUAAGGCACCAGCCUGAGUCUCAUAGACCUCCGUGGACCACAGAGCGCAGUUCAAGUGGACCCACAGAUCCAAGUCAAGGUUGAGUAGCCUUGCUGGUCCAUCUGUCAAUCCAUCACCUUCUUCAUGACAAAA